RNAcentral lists this long non-coding RNA (999 nucleotides) under Nicotiana benthamiana. RNAcentral describes it as "long non-coding RNA (NBEN_LNC024035)". Lineage: Eukaryota; Viridiplantae; Streptophyta; Magnoliopsida; Solanales; Solanaceae. The record is from RNAcentral.
ACUGGCCAACCCCAAAUAUUUAUUACAACUUACUACAAACUAGAAAUAAAUCACAUCAGAAAAGUACAACCAGAGGAAGCCUGAUUUUGACUUUCUAUCUGAAUUAUGAGAUAGACCAACUCGAAGAGCAUCGAUCCAAAGCCUUUCUCCAAUUUGAGCGUGUUAGAGUUCCCUAAAAGCCUCAAUGGGACUCCGGGUAGUGCACACAACCAAAUUGUAUUACCAGAAUAGGGAUAAUUCCAACAUAGACGGGUCAUCCCUCAAGUGGCCAAGUUCAAAAGAAGCUAAAUGGGACCCAAGGCAAGACUUACAAGAGGGGGAAAGCUGAAAGUCUAAGAGAGAGUGCAAGUGAAGAAAUAGAGUUUUAAAGAACUAAGCAAUUAAAGAGGAGAGGAAGAGGUACUGGAAAAUAGUUACAUGAUUGAGGAUUUCAUACUAAGGGGUUCAGGGAUUGGGGAUUGCAAACAGCCUAUCUACUUAAGCAUUAGCUAAUUAUGGGCAUGCACAACAAUAGAGAGUGUUGUUAUGCUUACAAAAUCAACAAAAAUACAUAACAUAUGAUGGUGACAUAGAGGUUAUGUCUCCAGGGGAAUCAAGUUUGAGUCAUAUACAGUAAUACUCAAUAUUGUCAUGCCUCAAACAAACCAUUAGCAUCAAACAUAUUUAGGAUGCAUAGUAGAUGCAGCACAGACAGAAGGAAAUUAUAACAUGCUAAAGUAAGUGCUGAACUAAACACAAGCAGUAGGCAGACAAUAGGGUAAAAGUAUUAAGUAAACACAUUGUUGUGAUUGCUAAAAAUCUUAAUCAGAACAUACCAGUUUCAAAGGGCAUGAUACAGUAAAAGCAAAUAGUAGGACUUGAAAGCAGGCCACAGUUCAAGUAUCAAGAGAGAAUAAUCUUUUAGAAUGAGGGUGAGUUCAAAAUUUAAGAGUGUUCAUGUGUAAGUGAUUAGAGAACACAGAGUGUUCGUCUGUGUGUGGCAAUGAAAGAGCAUGUAUU